RNAcentral lists this microRNA precursor (66 nucleotides) under Paramuricea clavata. Lineage: Eukaryota; Metazoa; Cnidaria; Anthozoa; Malacalcyonacea; Plexauridae. The record is from RNAcentral.
AAGAGAGGCAGUCACCCCCCUGAAAACAUAUUGAAAAUUUAUUCCAGGGGGGUGAAUGCCUCUCUU